GAUUCGUACUUACUGAAUAUCAGAAGCUACUCCCUUUUCAACCCCUCCUUUUUCUGCGUGGCAGUUGCUGCGUGGCAGUUGCAACCCCUCCUUUUUCUGCGUGGCAGUUGCAACCCCUCCUUUUUCUGUGUGGCAGUUGCUGCAUGGCAGUUGCAGUCCCUCCUUCUUCUGUGUGGCAGUUGCUGCGUGGCAGUUGCAACCCCUCGUUUUUCUGCGUGGCAGUUGCUGCGUGGCAGUUGCAACCCCUCCUUUUUCUGCGUGGCAGUUGCUGCGUGGCAGUUGCAACCCCUCCUUUUUCUGUGUGGCAGUUGCAACGCCUCCUUUUUCGGCGUGUCAGUUGCUAUGUGGCAGUUGCAACCCCUCCUUUUUCUGUGUGGCAGUUGAAAAUGAAAGUACCUCCAACCGGUUCCCUCCUGCAACCAAUCAGACUGAUUUGCGCAGAAUGAACCAGUGGGAAACCUAUAGAGGGUAUUUAAACCCCAGAAAAUUCUGUAAUCAAUGCUCUUGAGCUGCUUGCUCAAGGCCUUUCCUUCCCUAUGGAGUGUACUUUGUUUAAAUCCCUGCCUUCACUGCCUUGCUUUGUUUGUGUGUUUUGUUCAAUUCUCUGUUAAAAACGCCAAGAACCUGGACAACUACCCUAAACAGGCAACAAAAGCACAAAGACGUUGUACACAAAAAUAUUUUCCUUCUGUAUAUCUUUAUUCUAGAAGUUUUUUUCUAUUUAUUUAUUUAUUUUUUAUUUUGAUUGUUUUUUGCCGUUAACAUUUUUUUGUUAAAAAGUAAGACCAAAACACACUUGUUAGCCUGGGCCUACACAGGGUCAUUAAGACAUCACUAAGCAACAGGAAUUUUUUCAGAUCCAUUAUAAUCUUAUGGGACCACAGUGUAUAUGCGGUCUGUUGUUGACCAAAAUAUUGUUGUGUGACACAUUAAUGGGGUGAGGAUAUUAUUCUCUAUUAUUAUCUUAUGUAAUUUUUAAAUGCCAUCAGAUAAAACACAGAAGGGAGCACAGAGCUGCCUGGUCCUGCAGCUCUCCUGGAGUGAGGUGGUGCUGCUAACCACUGGAAGCUGAAGUCCAGAGGCUCUAUUCAGUCAAGGGGUGAUGAACUCUCUUUGGGUCUGGAGACAGGCUGGAACUGGGAUGAGAUAUGGAGACCCUGCCAUUUACGACAACGUGGAUGUAUCUGCAGGACAUUAAGACAAGUGCAAUAAGCAAGACACGGAAAGAAAAUAUAGCAUGGUCUCUCUUAUAUGUGGAAUUUUAAAAAUUAACUCUGAAUACUUUGGAUUAAACUGCUCUGAAAAAUCAAAUCUGUCCAUGGCAGUGCUAGCAUACUGUCUAUUAGAUUAAAUGAAGCUGUAAGCAUCUUUGAAGUACAAAUGAUACUUGGAAAGUAAAUGAAACUGGGAAUACUUGCAAGUAAAAUAUGGGAAGUCAAAGAGAUUAAAGGAUGAGAACCAGAAAUUGCUUAUGGCCAGUGUCCUGAGUAAGCCUCAGAAUCGCAUCCUAGAAGCAUCAAGUUCUUGUGUUACCCUAUGGAUCUAAAAAACGACUUCCUUAGUUUGAUGUAGUCUGCAGACAUCUCAUCAUCACAAAAACUUGAAAGCACUUACAGCACUAAGAAACUACCUUUGCAGAUUGUAAAAAAAGAUAGAAUCCUACUUAGUGUUUUGAUCACACCUGCCUAUUUCCCCAAGGUUUUACUGCAGGGUUAAAGAAUGAAUAAGCAUCUAGUUAUAUUUAAUAAACUCCAUGCCUUAUGGCUGAUUCUAAAGGCACAUGGCUUUGUUA
Molecule: long non-coding RNA, 1792 nt
Filed under: Homo sapiens (human)
Lineage: Eukaryota; Metazoa; Chordata; Mammalia; Primates; Hominidae
Description: uncharacterized LOC105374438, transcript variant 1 (LOC105374438)
Source: RNAcentral